Molecule: unclassified non-coding RNA, 250 nt
Filed under: fungal sp.
Lineage: Eukaryota; Fungi
Description: partial internal transcribed spacer region
Rfam family: Eukaryotic small subunit ribosomal RNA (bases 1-46)
Source: RNAcentral
AAGUCGUAACAAGGUUUCCGUAGGUGAACCUGCGGAAGGAUCAUUAUUGAAUUCUUUCAAACCAUCUUUUUGUGCACUUAUAUAAACCAGCACUUUUCCUUGAACAGUCAGAUCUCUUCUUGAUAAGGGGAGGGGUUUGAUCAUGACUUUAAGGUUUAGAGCUUUAUCUCCUAAUCAUUUGAUUGUUGAAUGUGUCUGAUUGAUUUAUUAAUCAUUUUAAAACUUGCAACAACGGAUCUCUAGGCUCUCU